UUGGACUCUGAAUCCAGUA
This 19-nucleotide non-coding RNA is filed under the name Arabidopsis thaliana (thale cress). Lineage: Eukaryota; Viridiplantae; Streptophyta; Magnoliopsida; Brassicales; Brassicaceae. The record is from RNAcentral.